CCUACGGGGGGCUGCAGUGGGGAAUAUUGGACAAUGGGGGGAACCCUGAUCCAGCCAUGCCGCGUGUGUGAAGAAGGCCCUCGGGUUGUAAAGCACUUUCAGUGAGGAAGAACGCCUGGUGGUUAAUACCCAUCAGGAAAGACAUCACUCACAGAAGAAGCACCGGCUAACUCCGUGCCAGCAGCCGCGGUAAUACGGAGGGUGCGAGCGUUAAUCGGAAUUACUGGGCGUAAAGCGCGCGUAGGUGGCUUGAUAAGCCGGUUGUGAAAGCCCCGGGCUCAACCUGGGAACGGCAUCCGGAACUGUCAAGCUAGAGUGCAGGAGAGGAAGGUAGAAUUCCCGGUGUAGCGGUGAAAUGCGUAGAGAUCGGGAGGAAUACCAGUGGCGAAGGCGGCCUUCUGGACUGACACUGACACUGCGGUGCGAAAGCGUGGGUAGCAAACAGGCUUAGAUACCCCGGUAGUC
Molecule: ribosomal RNA, 465 nt
Filed under: Vreelandella stevensii
Lineage: Bacteria; Pseudomonadati; Pseudomonadota; Gammaproteobacteria; Oceanospirillales; Halomonadaceae
Description: partial 16S ribosomal RNA
Rfam family: Bacterial small subunit ribosomal RNA
Source: RNAcentral